Molecule: ribosomal RNA, 398 nt
Filed under: uncultured bacterium
Lineage: Bacteria
Description: partial 16S ribosomal RNA
Rfam family: Bacterial small subunit ribosomal RNA
Source: RNAcentral
AUACGUAGGGUGCGAGCGUUGUCCGGAAUUACUGGGCGUAAAGAGCUCGUAGGUGGUUUGUCGCGUCGUCUGUGAAAUUCCGGGGCUUAACUCCGGGCGUGCAGGCGAUACGGGCAUAACUUGAGUACUGUAGGGGAGACUGGAAUUCCUGGUGUAGCGGUGAAAUGCGCAGAUAUCAGGAGGAACACCGGUGGCGAGGGCGGGUCUCUGGGCAGUAACUGACGCUGAGGAGCGAAAGCAUGGGUAGCGAAAAGGAUUAGAUACCCUGGUAGUCCAUGCCGUAAACGGUGGGCGCUAGGUGUAGGGGUCUUCCACGACUUCUGUGCCGUAGCUAACGCAUUAAGCGCCCCGCCUGGGGAGUACGGCCGCAAGGCUAAAACUCAAAUGAAUUGACGGGG